Molecule: non-coding RNA, 2924 nt
Organism: Coturnix japonica (Japanese quail)
Lineage: Eukaryota; Metazoa; Chordata; Aves; Galliformes; Phasianidae
Source: RefSeq, a predicted model, not a curated record
GGGGCAGGAAAGAAGGCCUAGGAAUGGGAUAUAGGGGGCAGGGAGUGUGUAUGUGCUUAGAGAACAGGCAUGGGGACAGUUUAUAGGGCCUGGGGUUAGAAUACAGGGUUCAGGUGGAUGUAGGAAGGGGUCAGGGCUCUUAGAAUGGAGUAUAGGGGGAGGAGAGAGUGGGUGUAUGUAGGUAGGGAGUAGACGUAGAGGCAGGAUAUAGGGCUUGGCGUUAAGAUAUAGGGCCCAGGUUUAUAUGUAUGUAGGGGGCAGGAAACAAGGCAUAGGGCCUGGUAUUAAGAUAAAGGGCCCAUGUGUAUAUGUAUGUAGGGGGCAGGAAACAAGGCAUAGGGCCUGGGGUUAGAAUAUAGAGCCCAGGUGGAUGUAGGAAGGGGUCAGGGCUCUUAGAGUGGAGUAUAGGGGAAGGAGUGGGUGGAUGUAUGUAGGUAGGGGGCAGGUGUGGAGGUAGGUUACAGGGCUUGGCAUUAAGAUGUAGGGCCCAGGUGUAUAUGUAUGCUGGGGGCAGGAAACAAGGCCUAGGACUGGAAUAUAGGGGGUAGGGAAUGUGUAUGUACUUAGGGAGCGGGCAUGGGGACAGUUUAUAGGGCCUGGGAUUAGGAUUUAGGGCUCAGCUGUGGGGCCCAGGGGAUGAGGGAUGGGAAGCAAAGCCUAGGAAAGGUUUAUUGGGGUCUGGAGGUAUAUGGGGAGGGGGCAGGAGGGGGAAUGGAGGCAAGGAAUAGGAUCUCGGGGUGGACCCAGGUGUGUGUGAGCGGAGGGAAGUCAUGGUGUUAGGAGGGCAGGAAUAAGGGACAGGGUGGACAUGGGGACAGGAAUUGGCCAGGGAAUGGGGUAUAGGGUGCCAGGGACAGAUAUGUGUGGGUAUGGAGUAGAUACAGGGGAUAAGAGAUCAGGAAUAGGGGACAAGCAUGAGAACAGAGGACUAUGGAUACGGCCUGAGAUUAAGAUGUAGGGGCCAGGGCCCAAGUAUCUGUAGGAAGAGGACAGACACAAGGAAAGGAGACGAGAAAUAGUAGACAAGGACAGGGGACAGGGGUUCAAGGAUGGGGAACGUGCUCUGGGAAUAGGAUAUAGGGGACAGAAAUAAAACAGAAGAGACCAGGAAUAGGGGGCAGGAGAGGGCAGAAGUGUGGGGACAAGAUGGAGAAAAUAGGUCGGUCUGGUUGGGGUGCAAUGAGUCAACCAUUAAAGGCAGAGCCAUUCCCAGCACAGUGUUACACGUUAUCGACAAGAUUAAGGACCGGGAUGUCACAGAGAGGCAAUGAAGCUGUCCUGGUGUCGUGGGCAGAGCUGGGAGUGGGGUGCUCAGUCUGAGUGCCCCUCACAGCACCAGCACUGUUUCCUCACAUCAAGCAUUGGCACAGGAGGGCAGUGGAUUCCCCAUCCAUGGAGGUGUUCAAGAGCCAUGGGGAUGUGGCACCAAGGAACAUGUAGAUGGAGGUCAGCAUUCUCUCAGGGCAGCCAGUCCUUGCUGGAACCAUCCCAGCUGGGUUAAGCAUUCAUCAGAACAUCUCUGAUAAGAAGGAUCUUCUGGAAGAGCUGAAUUAGGGAGUGGGAUCCCAUGUAGUUAUAUUGGCAGGUCUUUGGAGACCCAGAAAGGACACCGAGGACUGGGAGAACUCAUUGAUAGCAGCUCUGCAGUGAAGAACUUGGUGCUCCUGGUGGAUGAAAAGCUGGACGUGAGCCAGCAGUGUGCUCUUGCAGCCUGGAAGGCCAAUGGUACCCUGGGCUGCAUCAACAGGGUGGGGGCAGCAGGCAGGGCUGGUUGUUACACACCUUAAGACCCAGGAGUCAGACCAGCUCCUCAUCCGGUGUCCCUUAGAAGCUUGGCUCCUUUGUUGCUUUGUUGACUUUAGUUUUCAUACCUGCAGGAAGCUGACGCUUAACCGUUGGAUUUAGCACAACAGAAAAAGGUGGGGCGAGUACGUGGCACUGCUUAUAGACUGAUCUUGGCACUGCUUAUAGAUUGAUCUUGAACUGUCUUACUGAGACGUUAUACCAAUGGGGAAGCAGAGAAAUCAUGCUGCAUUCAGAGUCAUGCAAUAUGCCAGGGCCAGGAAGAACCAUAGAUUCACAGUAUCACUAAGACUGGAAAAGACCUUUAAGAUCAUUGACUCCAAUCAUACCAUAGAAUAACAGAGCAGGAGGCGAGGAAAUGGGGAAUUUGGGAAGGAAUUCAGCUUUGUGAUGUGGGAAUGAUUGUGCUUGCCUUUGUUUAUCAAAAGCUUUGAGAUACUGUGUGAUAAAGCUUUAGUUUUGGAAAUGCCAUUUAGCAAUACUCAGUGUCUUUUUAACCUCAACAGCAUCAGUCUUCAGACAUUAAUGAAGUUCCCACCCUUUCUUCUCUGUCCUUCUGUACUAGAAACCUGCCGCUUCUCUCCUAUUCAUGGGACAAAGAAGUACCACGGAGGUUUGGAGGAUCAAGACUCAGAUAGGAAGGGAUUGGGAAAACUCUGCUCCAACCUGCUGCUCAAAGCAGGGUCUGCUCUCAGGUUGGGUCAGAUUGUGGAGGGCUUUAUCCAGUUACAGAACCAUAGGAUCAUAGAAUCAUUAAGGUUGGAGAAGACCUCCAAGGUCCCCAAACCCAACCCCAAAACACCCCACCAUGCGCAUUGACCACAUUCCUCAGUGUCACAUCUCCACGAUUCCAGCAGUAGUGACUCCUUCCCUGGUGCAACAUGAGCCCACUUCAACAUAAGUGAGAUCAGAACCAGACUUCAUUCCAAAGAAGAAAUCCUCUGGUGGAAGAGCUUCAGUGAACUCACCAUAACCCUCAGGUCAGUCUGCAAUACCCAAACAUACACUGUGCUCCGGAGGUGAAGAGUUUAAUACUGCAGUUACUGGGUCAGGAAACCAUCCCAAAUGUAGAAGGCAGGAAAAAAAAACAAAAGAUGAAAAGAUGCUUUAAAGAAAAGAAA